GCCUUCGUGGUGUAAUGGCCAGCACACUCGGCAUGUAAAAGUGCCCGAGGUUCGAGUCUCGGCGAGGGCA
Molecule: transfer RNA, 70 nt
Filed under: Stegodyphus mimosarum
Lineage: Eukaryota; Metazoa; Arthropoda; Arachnida; Araneae; Eresidae
Rfam family: tRNA
About the family: Transfer RNA (tRNA) molecules are approximately 80 nucleotides in length.
Source: Rfam by way of RNAcentral